GGAUAGCUUGCAUCAACAUUUUCCGCCAGCUAAACACAAAUUGCUGCAUUUCAGACAAAUCGGAACUUUACUUGUUCUACAUGGGGCAGUUAGUGGCAAUGAUGAUUAGUGCGUUAAAUUAAAUACAAUAACUCUACAAUCUAGAAUAUAGACUAUAUCGUUCUGUGAAUUGAUAUUGAGAGUUCCCGAGAGGAAUUUCUCAUAACUGCUUUAAAAGCUUUGGCGCCUGUCUAACAGCAAACGUUGUAUCGCUGUGUCUUCCCAUCAGACUAUCGGCUUCUUUUAUAUACAGAAACUUAUUUUCGGUAGAUUUUGCUAUAGAUGGAAUAAUUGAACAUAUCAGAAUAUUUUACGCUUUUUUAACCGAUGUUUUAAGGAAGAGAAGUGCGACCCUAUGUCAAGUCCGGGACGCACAUAACAAAUUACUAACAAGUUUUAAUUGUUAUUUAUUUGAAUAAGAUUUUUGAAAUGUCCUACAGGAUGCUAAAACAAUUCCAGACACUCCUUCUUUAAUAAUAAUGUCUUUCAUUUCGCUUUUGACUAGUUUUGUGAAGGAGAGCUAAAGGCCGUAAGGAAAACUUUUGCGGCGUCUUUCUUUGAUGUUAUUGUUCAAGUUAUAGUUUAAUAGGACUCCUUUCAUCCUACAAUAUUAGUAAUUGUGUUGCGUUCAAUAAGUACACAUUGCUUGGAAGUCAUUUCUUUCAACUUUGUUUUGGCAUUUGCAAAAAAGUAUCAAAAAGUGUUUUGAAGAAGAAAACGAAUCAAAAUUGGGAGGUCUAAUAUAAUCGAAGAUUAUAUUUCCUGCGAUAUAUAGACCAACAAAAAAGAAUUAUUACCUUGGACAUGUUAUUACUGAACACUCAAAUCUCAAGUCGAAAAAGAAUGUCCAAAGAAAAAUCUCCAGACAUACAGCCAGAUGUUGAACUUGAAGCGCUUGUCAACAAUCAUCUUUCAAUUACGGAAGCUGCUAGAACUUUGGGUGUUAUCGGAGAUGAUCUUCAGCGCAGUUAUAGGUUGGAAACUCGAAAAAAUUACCUACAAGAAGCGGCUUUCGGUUGUGUUAUACUGGUUGGAGUCUACGCUAUGUACAAAUACUGGAAUAAAUAGAUUACUGCCUCAACAACUAGUUUUAAAGAAAAAUGAAACGCCGUCUCUGUUGAAAAUAUAAUGGUAAGCAAAAGAGCUUUUGUCGUUGUUUAAAGCCUACGCUACACCAGCUAAAAAUGCAUUCGAGUAUCGUCAAAUUCGAGAAUUUUUAAAGUUCUAAUUAUUAUGAUUCCAUGGUCAGUGCGGAUCGAUAUUUUAUGAUGUGAUUGUUUUAGAAUCGCUUCAACGUAAUGUAUAUGCAAUGUACCUGCAUUUCUUAGGAAGUGUGGCCAUUCUUGAGUUUUAUUUUAUACUUUUUUGCUUUGUUUUUAUUUUUUAAGAAUCUUUAUGUUCGGUGAAACCGUUUUUAGUGUUGUAUUCCUUGUAUUAAAGGUUUUUAAAAGUGAACUUUAUGUAUACAUAGAUGUUUUAUGCAUAGCAUGAAUUAUAUUUUUUAGUUAUUUUUGUGUAUUUCUGUUGAUUUUUUUUUAAACUCAAGUUCGUUAUGCGUUUAGAAUUUCAGCCAAAGUACGCAUUUAUAAUUUCCACCAUACAUGCAUACAUAACUUGAAGCAAAAUUUUUAUUCACAUUUUUAUGGUAAGUGCGUUUUGCGAAGUCACUUUGAAUCAAUUCGAGAAUAUCUAUACACAUUUAUAAUUUUCCAUGGACCCGAUGUAAUGAUUCCCGAAAAAAACAAAAACUAGAAAAUUUUGUAACGAGUUUUCACUUGAUUUUUACUUGUUGUCCUGUUUUAUAUCUGUCAAAAAGCGAUGAUUCAUCGUCAGAUUGUCAAUCAACUCUCCCCCACAAUUAUCUUGUAUAUCAAGUAAUAACAACCUGCAUUCGCAAAUCACAUCUACGAAGAAAAUCUUUUUAUUUUUAUUUAACCAAUUGUUGAAGAAUUGAUUUUUUUAUUGUAAUUACGUAACAUAUAUAUUUUUAAAUUGGUCUAUGAAUUUGCAACUUCUUUUUUGGAUAGCCUUCAAUAAUUACUCCGAAAAAAUAUUUGAUCAGAGGACUCAGAAAACCUAGUUGCUAAUAUACUAUAUAUAAUUUUUUUUCACCUAGGUAUAUAUAUGUACGGAAAUUUAGGAUGUAAAGCAUCAUACCAAUUUAUCAAGUCUCUUAUGAAAUGUUUUUGAAAGCAAGGGCAAGAAUGGGAAAUACCUAUCAACGAGAAAAAAAAUUUUUAAACCAGUGCAUAUUAAAUAUUUUUCAUUCUUUUCUUGUUUUGCCUUUCCUCUCGUGAUUUUGAUGUUGCUAUGAGAAGCGUGAUAGAAAGUAGACUUGAGGCGCCAGACGUUUUUCUUAACGAGAUCAUAAAAAACAAAGCGCGGGGUAAAUAAUUAAUGGAACUUUGCAAGUUGAGAAAUAAAUCUGCGUUUAAGAUACAGAAAAUGAAUGUCGUACGUGCUUAAGCCUCUUUAAUGUUUAUGUUGACGGUGUCUCCAAGCUCUACGACAUAUUCACUACUAAAAUAUCCUUAUCAUCUUUUCUUUAAAAAAACGUUCAUAUUAGAGUUUCAUCUGUGUAAUCGACAAAGAAUUUGUUAAAAGAUUGUGUCUCUGUUUCCGUCACAAACCUCUAUUUCGCGUUUACCAUUUAAAAUCUCGAUUCGCUCAAACACCAAUUUCUACCAACUUUUGUUUAUAGUGUAUACAUAGCUAUAAAUAUAUAAAUAAUGUAUAUAAAGGGUAUAUAUAAAAUUGUAAGAAACGUAUAUUUGUUGAGUAUUGUAUUAUAUGUGUGUUAUAUGGUCUUGUACAGAAGAAUAUCGUAUUUGUAUAUACUGUAUUAUAGAGUAUAAGAAAUCAGUUUGUUUAAA
Molecule: long non-coding RNA, 2912 nt
Organism: Hydractinia symbiolongicarpus
Lineage: Eukaryota; Metazoa; Cnidaria; Hydrozoa; Anthoathecata; Hydractiniidae
Exons: 2
Source: RefSeq, a predicted model, not a curated record